UGUCCGAUGGUGUAAUGGUAACACAGCAGUUUUUGGUACUGCUUUUCCAGGUUCGAAUCCUGGUCGGACAA
Molecule: transfer RNA, 71 nt
Filed under: Bacteroidota bacterium
Lineage: Bacteria; Pseudomonadati; Bacteroidota
Description: Bacteroidetes bacterium (activated sludge metagenome) tRNA-Gln
Rfam family: tRNA
About the family: Transfer RNA (tRNA) molecules are approximately 80 nucleotides in length. Their secondary structure includes four short double-helical elements and three loops (D, anti-codon, and T loops).
Source: RNAcentral